AUCGCUCGCUGACGUCAGUGCUAGGAACCUGCGCCCGGCUGAGCUGAGCGAGACGAGAGGAGAAAGCCAGGCUCGGGGAGGAGGCUGAGAGCUCUGGAGGAAGGAGGCGGCUUCCGAGUACUCCGCGCCGGGCAGGCCCCGGCCUCGCCUCUCCUCCCAUUUUUAAGGCUCGGUUAGAGGCCACCUCCUCCGAGAAGCCUUCGGUGACACCACCAGAAGGCUUCCCAGAACCUUUCCCAGGCGGUUCCCCUUUCGGAUUCCGACAGCAUUUUCCAACCAUACACUGUCAGAACCACUCACCAGGACAUGUUGUCACCAUUUUACCUCUUUGCCUCGUCUCUUAACUAGAUGAAAUGGGUUCCUCUUGGCUCUUUGGAAAGGGAGGCUGUCUUCUGCUUAUUUCCGUAGUAAUCCCACCUCCCACAACAAGUUCCAUUCUGCAGCAAUGCCUUUUCUCUUGCUGAGAAACAUUCAAGUCUAAGUUUUAUGCCGUCUUCCUUCCUUAUUGUGGAUUGGACCUUCUCAAGAAAGAAUCCGGCCUCAGUCUCCGUCUUCCACACUCAGGAACCAGGCACUCCGUAGAUGUCUUCCGAAUGGGGAUAACUUCUACCCAACACCCCGAAGCCUGGCCCAGGGUCUGGCAUACAGAUGCCCAGUGUUUGUAAGGCCACACAGUAAAUUCUCAAGAGAACCAGGACUGGGACCAAAUUUUCUGACUUCAAGUAUGGGACCUUUUCAUUAGACUGUGGUGCCCUUCUGCUGCUGUUGCAUGGGCCGCCGUCCAGCAGAGCUGUCAUUGCAGAUGAUGUAGUGAAUGGGACAGGAGCCUGGAGGCUGGAACCCUUUGUCUCCACCAUUACCCGGGACCUCAUUGGUGACAACUUGACUGUGCUGACCAGAGCUGAUAAGAAACAUCACCCGGGGAAGACCAGCUGCCUUUUCCUCACUUCCUAAUCAGGGUGGAAAUACUGCUAAAUAUAUCACAACUCUUUGCAAGCAUCGUUGGGUAACGAUCAGGACAUCUUUGGGGUUCCCUAUCAGUUUCUCACAGAGUUGAACCUUUCAAGGUCAGUUCUAGGCCAGCCAGUCUGGGAGUCAUUCUUUAGAAUCAGAAGAGAAUUUAAGAAGAGAAGAAAAUAACAUUGUCUCUAAAACCUGCUAAUGAGAACUACAGGAAGGUAGCUAUUUUUAAUAUUUCUGCUUUGAACCCCUUCCUCCACCCCAGAAUGAACUGAGAGUAGGGACAGAAAUAGAUAAUGCAAAAAUGAUUAGGGUUGAGGGUAAGCAGAAAGCUACCCAUCUAGACUGAAGGAAGGCUUGCUAACACAUCAGUAAGCAAACAGCUUUCUAAUCUGCAAGUAAUAAGUUUUACAUCCCUGAGGACACUUUUUGAGAUGGGACUUUGUUGUUUUUUGUUUUUUUGAGACGGAGUCUUGCUCUGUCACCCAGGUUGGAGUGCAGUGGUGCGGUCUUGGCUCACUGCAACUUCUGCCUUCCAAGU
Piliocolobus tephrosceles (Ugandan red Colobus) is the source of this 1501-nucleotide long non-coding RNA. RefSeq lists it as uncharacterized. The record is from RefSeq and is a predicted model, not a curated record. Lineage: Eukaryota; Metazoa; Chordata; Mammalia; Primates; Cercopithecidae. The transcript has 4 exons.